Molecule: long non-coding RNA, 2436 nt
Filed under: Micromonas commoda
Lineage: Eukaryota; Viridiplantae; Chlorophyta; Mamiellophyceae; Mamiellales; Mamiellaceae
Description: long non-coding RNA (MCOM_LNC000393)
Source: RNAcentral
GGCGGGAAAGCGGUAGGGGGGCCCGCGGGGGGCGACGGGGAGGGGGGCCCGCGGGGGCGCGUCGUCGUUCGAAUAGUGAGAGUCCCCGGGUCGGUCGUCGCGGAUGGGCACGUCGUCCUCGCGCCCGCGCUACGCGACGCUCUCGGCGCGACGCAGGGCACCCGCGUGACGUUGACGUUGACGUCCAUCGCGGGUCCCUCCACGGGCGAAGCGAACGGCGGCACGGCUGUGCUCCUUCGUCUCAGGCCCGUGAUCCGCGAGGGCGGUGACGGGUCAGAGCCGGAGCGCGGGACGGAAUCAAAGCUCGGGGAUCUCACGGCGGCGCAUCUCGCCGCGCUCGGGCUGCCCCGCGAUCAUGUUAACGUCGACGAGGACGCCGUCACCGACGCCGCGAGGGACCUGCUCGCGCGCUGGUCCGCCACGGUGGCGCGUUUCUCGAUGACGUUUAGAAACGCAUUCAGAGACGACGGCGACGAAAAGGACCCGAACGACUUGAACGACUUUGGCGCCCCUCCGCCGGUCGCCACCGGAUCUGUGGUUCAGCUCAGGGUGGGCGAUGACUCCCUCAUCGCGACGUUCGAGCUGGAGGUGCACGCGCCGGGGGGCGCGUGCGAACUCACCUCCGACGUCCUCCGGUGCGGCGGGAGCGACGGAGCGGGGGAAUCAUCGUCGACGCCGGCGGCGCGAGUCGAGCUCGGCGGGUGCGUCCGGCGGGCCGCUCACGACCCUUCCCCCGUGUCCAAGCUCUUCGGAACGUCCGUCACCGUGGACGCGACGCUUCGGGACGCGCUCGGCACGGUCGCGCCCGUCGGGUCAGCGGCGAAUGAGGCGGCGAAUGAUGCGACGGCGCAACUCGCGGCGGCGCUGACGACGGUCCCUGGGGGUAAUAUUCCGGGCGGCGUCCUCCUCUGGGGCGCACCGGGAAGCGGGCGCAGCGGCGUCGCGAGGUGCAUCGCCAGGACCCUCCGCGACGACAAGCGCACGCUCGCGUCGGUCGUCUACGUCUCGUGCGGGUCGAUGUCCCACUCCGCAUCCGGCGACCCGAGGGCGGCUAUUUCCGCGGUGAAGGCGGCGGCGUCGGCGGCGGCCCGACGCGCGCCCGCCGUCGUGAUACUCGACGACCUGGACGCCAUCGCGGGCGGCGGCGGCGGCGGCGGCGCGGGGGGGGGCGGGGCGGACGCGCCCGGCGGCGGACCCGGCGAGAUCGUCGGGGAGGUCAUCGCCGACGUCGCCGACUUUCUUCGCGGCCGCCGGGUCGCGUUGUUGGCCACGGCGACGUCGCCCGAGUCUCUCCACGACGCCGUCCGCGCGGCCGGGCGGCUGGACCACGCGUGUGAGCUGCGUAUGCCGGACGCCGCGGACGCGCGCGGCGCCGUCGUUAAAACGAUCGCGGACGCGCGCGGGACGCCCGUGUCGAGCGCCGACGUCGCCGCCGCCGCGGCUCGAAAAGCCGAGGGGUACGCGCGCGGCGACCUGACCGCGCUCGUGGAGCGCGCGGCGCACGCGGCAGCCGCGAGAUCGAUGCGCCGACCGAUGCACACGCCAUCGCUAGCGGCGGUCAAGGUUCAACACCCCGGGUCUGGGUUCGACACGGGCGUUACAGGCGUUACAGAACGCGACGCCACGCUCGGGGCGCUCGAUUUCGACGACGCUCGCGUGGGCCUCGUGCCCGCUCCGGCGAGGGCUCUGGGCGGUUCCUUGGGCGUGGGCGGUGACCACUCACCGGGCGGUGACUCACCGGGCGAUGAUCCGCUCGAUGCCGUCGGCGGGCUCGACGACGUCAAGGCGGCGCUCGACGAGGCGCUGUCGCUCCCGUCCCGCCACCCCGCCGUCUUCGCCGACGCGCCCCUGCGGCUUCGCACGGGCGCGUUACUCUACGGACCGCCGGGGUGCGGCAAGACGAUGGUGAUCAGGGCGGCGAUCAAGGCGGCGGGGGUUCGAUCCGUCGCGAUAAAGGGCCCCGAGCUGCUCAACAAGUACAUCGGGCAGUCCGAGGCUGGGGUCCGCGACGCCUUCAGGCGCGCCGCCGCCGCCGCGCCGUGCGCGCUCUUCUUUGACGAGUUUGACUCGAUUGCGCCCAGGCGCGGGCACGACUCCACCGGCGUGACGGAUCGCGUCGUCAACCAGUUUCUCACCGAGCUGGACGGCGUGGAGGGCUUACGCGGGGUGGUGGUGCUCGCGGCGACGUCCAGGCCGGACCUCGUGGACCCCGCGCUGCUGCGACCCGGCCGGUUGGACAGGCUGCUGCGUUGCGACUUUCCCGACGUCGCCGCGAGGUUGGAGAUUUUGGAGAAGGCGGCGAGAGACGUCGGGUUGGUGGACGAUCAGAGGGCGCUCAACGAGGACGUCCUGGGGCUGCACGCGGUGGCGAACGACACGGAGGGUUUCAGCGGCGCGGACCUCCGCGCGAUCGUGACGGACGCUCGCAUGCACGCG